This is a long non-coding RNA of Lineus longissimus, 845 nucleotides long. RefSeq lists it as uncharacterized. Lineage: Eukaryota; Metazoa; Nemertea; Pilidiophora; Heteronemertea; Lineidae. The transcript has 4 exons. The record is from RefSeq and is a predicted model, not a curated record.
CCAAUUUGCAGUCCGACAUGUUGUAUAUGCCCAACUGUUUCAACAUCCUCGGUCUACCAUAUCUUUCGCCUGUUUGAAUUUUCUUCUGAUUCGACUCUGCACCUUAUCGAAGAACAUUACACAAUAACCAAGGACUUACGUGCGAUAUGAGUAUAUCGGUUCAUCUUUCUUUCGGCUAUUUGGCAGUGGUGAAAGAUUCUGUCCAACCUAUGUUUGAGAACGGCAUGUGUCAGCCAAUCACCGUCGUCCUCUUUCAUGACACUUGGCAACUGGAAGUUGAAGACCCGGAUGUUGCUACUAAGUUGCCGAAUUCAUGCGGGAUUUCGUGUUGCAUGUUUUGGGAUUCAUCAUGGCAUGCAGCAAACAGGUCGCUGCACGGAUAGUUGAACCAGGGGGUAAUGUUAUUGCACCAUGGCCAUUCUUACGAUUCAAUCAAGCUACGUUCAUGUAUGGCCAGCUGUGGUCAGAUAUACAGUACUAGAUGGCUACGCAUACGAUGUUAAAGUGACUAUGCCGGAAAGGGUUUUGAAACCCGUUAAGGCCCGUAUCAUUUUUUGAUUUUCGUCGAAAAUGAGUAUUUUCAGUAUUUUGGCCUAUUUCAUCAGAAUAAUGCAUAAUUUUAUAUGUUUCUUUAUAACAACAAUUAAAGGUUUUGUAAAACACUUAAUCAGAGAAAACGAUGGCUAUUUGAGAGGAAAAGGCAUCUUUUUCAUCAUCCAGGACCAACAUCUUACCAAUUAAGUUAGAAUUUGAUUACUUAUUAAAUUAGCUAUUUAUUGGAAAAAUUUGGCAAGAAAAAUCUUAUUAAAUAACUUCUUAAUGAUUUCUUAGUCAGAUAAUCUUAG